CUGGGACUGACACAAUCUCCAAGACUGACGGAUGCCAGUUUGAAGACAGAGGAUAAAGCACGGACGUGAUUUACAGCAGCUCCGACCAUGGUCUGAACAUCGCUAGUCGUGCUUACCAAGUGAGGUCAUCUAGUUUUAGGCGCAGACACGAAGAAGUACAAAGAGCAAAACGGAGGACAGAAAAGACGAGGAAGCUGCAGGGAAGGAGGGAAUGCCCCGGUCGAGUCCAUCCAGGUACCGACCCAGCUGCACCCCCAUCAUUCCUUCACAGCCUCUGAUCCUCCGAGGAAACAUUAACACUUUGAUGGCAG
Long non-coding RNA from Acanthopagrus latus (yellowfin seabream), 311 nucleotides. RefSeq lists it as uncharacterized. The record is from RefSeq and is a predicted model, not a curated record. NCBI's taxonomy places the organism in Eukaryota, Metazoa, Chordata, Actinopteri, Spariformes, Sparidae. The transcript is spliced from 3 exons.